GGGGGGGGGGGGGGGGGGGGGGGGGGGGUGGGAGGGGGGGGGGGGGGGCGUGCUGGGGGGGGGUGGUCGGGUGUCGCCGGGGGGGGUGCCACGUGAGUCGCGUGCGCUUGACUUUGGGCUCCGUUCCGGAAGCUGGGGCUGGUGCCGUCGAGGCGCGCCUGCUUCCUUGUUUGGGUUGUAAGUUUUCGGCGGUUUGGGAUUGACUCGCGGCGUAUCAGCUUGUUGGUUUGGUCGUGGCUUCCCAAGGCGUUGACGGGUAGCCGGCCGGAGAGGGGGACCGGCCACAUUGGGACUGAGAGACGGCCCAGACUCCUACGGGAGGCAGCAGUGGGGAAUAUUGCACAAUGGGCGGAAGCCUGAUGCAGCAACGCCGCGUGCGGGAUGACGGCCUUCGGGUUGUAAACCGCUUUCGCCUGUGACGAAGCGUGAGUGACGGUAAUGGGUAAAGAAGCACCGGCUAACUACGUG
RNAcentral lists this ribosomal RNA (468 nucleotides) under uncultured bacterium. RNAcentral's name for it is "partial 16S ribosomal RNA". It matches the Rfam family "Bacterial small subunit ribosomal RNA", at positions 39 to 507 of the family's 1533-position model. The record is from RNAcentral.